Molecule: ribosomal RNA, 557 nt
Filed under: uncultured bacterium
Lineage: Bacteria
Description: bacterial SSU rRNA
Rfam family: Bacterial small subunit ribosomal RNA
Source: RNAcentral
ACGGGUGAGUAACGCGUGGGAACGUGCCCUUCGGUUCGGAAUAACUCAGGGAAACUUGAGCUAAUACCGGAUACGCCCUUAUGGGGAAAGGUUUACUGCCGAAGGAUCGGCCCGCGUCUGAUUAGCUAGUUGGUGAGGUUACGGCUCACCAAGGCGACGAUCAGUAGCUGGUCUGAGAGGAUGAUCAGCCACACUGGGACCGAGACACGGCCCAGACUCCUACGGGAGGCAGCAGUGGGGAAUAUUGGACAAUGGGGGCAACCCUGAUCCAGCCAUGCCGCGUGAGUGAUGACGGCCUUAGGGUUGUAAAGCUCUUUUCUCCGGGACGAUAAUGACGGUACCGGAGGAAUAAGCCCCGGCUAACUUCGUGCCAGCAGCCGCGGUAAUACGAAGGGGGCUAGCGUUGCUCGGAAUCACUGGGCGUAAAGGGCGCGUAGGCGGCUGAUUUAGUCGAGGGUGAAAGCCCGUGGCUCAACCACGGAAUGGCCUUCGAUACUGGUUGGCUUGAGACCGGAAGAGGACAGCGGAACUGCGAGUGUAGAGGUGAAAUUCGUAGA